Molecule: long non-coding RNA, 467 nt
Organism: Ornithorhynchus anatinus (platypus)
Lineage: Eukaryota; Metazoa; Chordata; Mammalia; Monotremata; Ornithorhynchidae
Exons: 2
Source: RefSeq, a predicted model, not a curated record
GAGCGCCUGAGAGAGUUCCUUACAACACAGUUAGCGGACGCUUUCCCUGGCCGAGAGGCGCUUACUCUAUAGAGUAAACUUUGACCCCGGAGAGCCGGACCCGGUCAGCUGCCUCGAAGCCCCCUCGACGACGCUGGAAGCCCGACGGCCCUAGGAAGGCUGAAGUGAUGGAUUGCUCUGACCAUCGCCCUCUUUCGCCCGGUCCUCUGGCAGCCAACCACACACAUCGUGAUAUGACUGGCAGGGGUAACAGUGCUGCCUGGGGCCAAGAAACAGUAUCUUCCUGGCACCCUGAAGCUGGCACCCUAUUCCAGAGCCAGAGUGGAGUGAGCACCUGUGUUGGAAUGGGGCCACGUUUUACUGGUUGACAAAAUUCUGUGGCUAUUUAGCAAUUAAAAAUAGAACACACAGCAUAAAGACAACAACGUCCCCCAAAUAACAAUGAAACAUGAAACUACAAAAUCCUC